CCUGACAAACUAGGAAACUAAGAAAACAGGAGCUCACGGAAAUCGUUUGCAUCUGUAGUGUGAAGCGAUCUUUUAUACAAUUGACCGGCUGACUGAACAUCAAAAUUAGUACCAUUCCCUUGGCAAAGCAAGCAAACAAAUUCAAAAAUGAGUGACGACUUUCUGCGGAAACCAUUUUCAUUGGCGCCCGCGCCAGCCGUUGAAGAAGCAACAAACUCAAACUACACAUCUGGUGCAAGCAAAUUUAGUAGCGCUCCGGUCUCGCCAUACCUCAACUACGAUUCACGCUUCCUGCAGCAGGCACAGCCCGAGUUCAUCUUUCCCGAGGGUGCCAACAAGCAGCGUGGCCGUUUUGAGCUAGCCUUCUCCCAGAUUGGCACUUCGGUUAUGAUUGGCGGCGGUAUUGGAGGUCUAGCGGGAGUAUACAAUGGUUUUAAGGCCACCAACGCGCUCAAUCAGACGGGGAAACUGCGGCGAACUCAGUUAAUCAAUCACAUUAUGAAGCAGGGUUCUGGAACGGCAAACUCUCUGGGGACCCUGGCGGUGCUCUAUUCGGCGUGCGGUGUGCUAUUGCAAUACUCUCGUGGCGAGGAUGACCAUGUCAACACAGUAAUUGCGGGCUCUGCCACAGGCCUGCUGUAUAAAUCCACAGCUGGCCUACGGAGGUGUGCACUUGGCGGUGCAAUUGGCCUAGGCAUCUCGUCUCUCUAUUGCCUAUACCUGUUAGCGCAGGAGAGAGGCACUAACUCAAGUCCAAAAUUCCUGUAGAUAACGAUGGCUAAGCUUUCCAAGCACGAGCACACAGUAGACGCUUCGAUGGGCUUGACCACGUUAUCAGGACGUAUAUGAUCGUUUCAUAUUCAUCAGGCUUUAGACUAUAAGAAAAAAAACGCUUGUAGCUAAGAAACUACACACAGUAGAAGACACUUCACCAAAAAUUGUAUAAAAGCUUCGGAUGUGUGCUUUAAAUGCAACGUGCUGUAAAGUA
RNA transcript from Drosophila persimilis, 988 nucleotides. It is a transcript of the gene named mitochondrial import inner membrane translocase subunit Tim23, with no coding region annotated. NCBI's taxonomy places the organism in Eukaryota, Metazoa, Arthropoda, Insecta, Diptera, Drosophilidae. The record is from RefSeq and is a predicted model, not a curated record. The transcript is spliced from 5 exons.